RNAcentral lists this microRNA precursor (78 nucleotides) under Pelobates cultripes (western spadefoot toad). The record is from RNAcentral. Lineage: Eukaryota; Metazoa; Chordata; Amphibia; Anura; Pelobatidae.
CUCCCAGACCCUCCUACUUCCUGGACAGCAUCCAUGUUGAAACUUGGAUGCUGUCCAGGAAGUAGGAGGGUCUGGGAG